CCUACGGGGGGCAGCAGUGGGGAAUAUUGCACAAUGGGGGAAAGCCUGAUGCAGCGACGCCGCGUGAGUGAGGAAGGACUUCGGUAUGUAAAGCUCUAUCAGUAGGGAAGAAAAUGACGGUACCUGACUAAGAAGCCCUGGCUAACUACGGGCCAGCAGCCGCGGUAAUACGGAGGGGGCAAGCGUUAUCCGGAUUUACGGGGGGUAAAGGGAGCGUAGACGGCUGUUCAAGUCAGAAGUGAAAACCCAGGGCUCAACCUUGGGACUGCAUUUGAAACUGAGUAGCUAGAGUGCAGGAGAGGUAAGCGGAAUUCCUAGUGUAGCGGUGAAAUGCGUAGAUAUUAGGAGGAACACCAGUGGCGAAGGCGGCUUACUGGACUGUAACUGACGUUGAGGCUCGAAAGCGUGGGGAGCAAACAGGAUUAGAUACCCGGGUAGUC
Molecule: ribosomal RNA, 440 nt
Filed under: uncultured bacterium
Lineage: Bacteria
Description: partial 16S ribosomal RNA
Rfam family: Bacterial small subunit ribosomal RNA
Source: RNAcentral